This 500-nucleotide ribosomal RNA is filed under the name uncultured bacterium. RNAcentral's name for it is "partial 16S ribosomal RNA". It matches the Rfam family "Bacterial small subunit ribosomal RNA", at positions 30 to 523 of the family's 1533-position model. The record is from RNAcentral.
AUUGAACGCUAGCGGGAUGCCUUACACAUGCAAGUCGAACGGCAGCGCGGACUUCGGUCUGGCGGCGAGUGGCGAACGGGUGAGUAAUGUAUCGGAACGUGCCCAGUAGCGGGGGAUAACUACUCGAAAGAGUAGCUAAUACCGCAUGCGACCUGAGGGUGAAAGUGGGGGACCGCAAGGCCUCAUGCUAUAGGAGCGGCCGAUGUCUGAUUAGCUAGUUGGUGGGGUAAAGGCCUACCAAGGCGACGAUCAGUAGCUGGUCUGAGAGGACGAUCAGCCACACUGGGACUGAGACACGGCCCAGACUCCUACGGGAGGCAGCAGUGGGGAAUCUUGGACAAUGGGCGAAAGCCUGAUCCAGCAAUGCCGCGUGUGUGAAGAAGGCCUUCGGGUUGUAAAGCACUUUUGUCCGGAAAGAAAUGGCUCUGGUUAAUACCUGGGGUCGAUGACGGUACCGGAAGAAUAAGCACCGGCUAACUUCGUGCCAGCCGCCGCGGUAA